This 259-nucleotide long non-coding RNA is filed under the name Carica papaya (papaya). RNAcentral's name for it is "long non-coding RNA (CPAP_LNC002946)". Lineage: Eukaryota; Viridiplantae; Streptophyta; Magnoliopsida; Brassicales; Caricaceae. The record is from RNAcentral.
UCAUUUUAGGGUUUUGAUCUAGGCGGUCCAUCUAUCCAUUUCAUUUUAGCCUUUCUCUUUUUUACACUUAAUUCUAUUCACCCGCUCCUCAAGAUGAAGCCUAUUCACUUUCAACACUUCAAGUCCCUCACCAUCACUUUUUUAACCCUUUGUGUUUUCUUGUUGCAGGUGCUUCAUCUUGAACAGAAGUCGGUGAUGUGCUAAGGUUCCUAAAGGUUUCGAGAGUAGAUCGGUGAACUGUUCUCUCAAGGUAACGUGU